CGAUGUCUACUUGGAGGUUGUGGCCUUGAGCCGUGGCUUUCGGAGCUAACGCGUUAAGUAGACCGCCUGGGGAGUACGGUCGCAAGAUUAAAACUCAAAUGAAUUGACGGGGGCCCGCACAAGCGGUGGAGCAUGUGGUUUAAUUCGAUGCAACGCGAAGAACCUUACCUACUCUUGACAUCCAGAGAACUUUCCAGAGAUGGAUUGGUGCCUUCGGGAACUCUGAGACAGGUGCUGCAUGGCUGUCGUCAGCUCGUGUUGUGAAAUGUUGGGUUAAGUCCCGCAACGAGCGCAACCCUUAUCCUUGUUUGCCAGCGAGUAAUGUCGGGAACUCCAGGGAGACUGCCGGUGAUAAACCGGAGGAAGGUGGGGACGACGUCAAGUCAUCAUGGCCCUUACGAGUAGGGCUACACACGUGCUACAAUGGCGCAUACAGAGGGCGGCCAACUUGCGAGAGUGAGCGAAUCCCAAAAAGUGCGUCGUAGUCCGGAUCGGAGUCUGCAACUCGACUCCGUGAAGUCGGAAUCGCUAGUAAUCGUGGAUCAAAAUGCCACGGUGAAUACGUUCCCGGGCCUUGUACACACCGCCCGUCACACCAUGGGAGUGGGCUGCAAAAGAAGUAGGUAGUUUAACCUUUCGGAGAGGACGCUUACCACUUUGUGGUUCAAGACUGGGGUGAA
Molecule: ribosomal RNA, 680 nt
Filed under: Vibrio campbellii
Lineage: Bacteria; Pseudomonadati; Pseudomonadota; Gammaproteobacteria; Vibrionales; Vibrionaceae
Description: bacterial SSU rRNA
Rfam family: Bacterial small subunit ribosomal RNA
Source: RNAcentral